Molecule: ribosomal RNA, 301 nt
Filed under: uncultured bacterium
Lineage: Bacteria
Description: partial 16S ribosomal RNA
Rfam family: Bacterial small subunit ribosomal RNA
Source: RNAcentral
CAGUAGCCGCGGGAAUACGUAGGUGGCAAGCGUUGUCCGGAAUUAUUGGGCGUAAAGGGCUCGCAGGCGGUUUCUUAAGUCUGAUGUGAAAGCCCCCGGCUCAACCGGGGAGGGUCAUUGGGAACUGGGAAACUUGAGUGCAGAAGAGGAGAGUGGAAUUCCACGUGUAGCGGUGAAAUGCGUAGAGAUGUGGAGGAACACCAGUGGCGAAGGCGACUCUCUGGUCUGUAACUGACGCUGAGGAGCGAAAGCGUGGGGAGCGAACAGGAUUAGAUACCCCCGUAGUCCCUGUCUCUUAUAC